RNAcentral lists this ribosomal RNA (157 nucleotides) under Laricifomes officinalis. RNAcentral's name for it is "Fomitopsis officinalis 5.8S ribosomal RNA". It matches the Rfam family "5.8S ribosomal RNA". From Rfam's summary of the family: 5.8S ribosomal RNA (5.8S rRNA) is a component of the large subunit of the eukaryotic ribosome. The record is from RNAcentral. Lineage: Eukaryota; Fungi; Basidiomycota; Agaricomycetes; Polyporales; Laricifomitaceae.
CACUUUUAGCCACGGAUUUUUUGGUUUUUGCCUUGAAGAAGGACGCAAGGAAAUGCGAUAAGUAAAGGGAAAUGCCGAAAUCAGUGAAUUCUUGGAUUUUUGGACGCCCCCUGCGGUCCUUGGUAUUUCGAGGGGCCAGCCUGUUUGAGGGUCCAGG